RNAcentral lists this non-coding RNA (30 nucleotides) under Mus musculus (house mouse). Lineage: Eukaryota; Metazoa; Chordata; Mammalia; Rodentia; Muridae. The record is from RNAcentral.
UUUGUUUUUACCAGAUACCACUGGGAACCC